This 731-nucleotide ribosomal RNA is filed under the name uncultured bacterium. RNAcentral describes it as "bacterial SSU rRNA". It matches the Rfam family "Bacterial small subunit ribosomal RNA", at positions 771 to 1501 of the family's 1533-position model. The record is from RNAcentral.
AACAGGAUUUGAUACCCUGGUAGUCCACGCUGUAAACGAUGUCGACUUGGAGGUUGUGCCCUUGAGGCGUGGCUUCCGGAGCUAACGCGUUAAGUCGACCGCCUGGGGAGUACGGCCGCAAGGUUAAAACUCAAAUGAAUUGGCGGGGGCCCGCACAAGCGGUGGAGCAUGUGGUUUAAUUCGAUGCAACGCGAAGAACCUUACCUACUCUUGACAUCCAGAGAAUUUGCUAGAGAUAGCUUAGUGCCUUCGGGAACUCUGAGACAGGUGCUGCAUGGCUGUCGUCAGCUCGUGUUGUGAAAUGUUGGGUUAAGUCCCGCAACGAGCGCAACCCUUAUCCUUUGUUGCCAGCACGUAAUGGUGGGAACUCAAAGGAGACUGCCGGUGAUAAACCGGAGGAAGGUGGGGAUGACGUCAAGUCAUCAUGGCCCUUACGAGUAGGGCUACGCACGUGCUACAAUGGCAUAUACAAAGAGAAGCGAACUCGCGAGAGCAAGCGGACCUCAUAAAGUAUGUCGUAGUCCGGAUUGGAGUCUGCAACUCGACUCCAUGAAGUCGGAAUCGCUAGUAAUCGUAGAUCAGAAUGCUACGGUGAAUACGUUCCCGGGCCUUGUACACACCGCCCGUCACACCAUGGGAGUGGGUUGCAAAAGAAGUAGGUAGCUUAACCUUCGGGAGGGCGCUUACCACUUUGUGAUUCAUGACUGGGGUGAAGUCGUAACAAGGUAACC